This is a long non-coding RNA of Cyprinus carpio carpio, 356 nucleotides long. The record is from Ensembl. Lineage: Eukaryota; Metazoa; Chordata; Actinopteri; Cypriniformes; Cyprinidae.
ACCAAAGGUAAAGAGGUACACAGAACUGCUGCUCACUACAAGCAGGCCAAUUGUUCCUAGAGAUGGUGUUUGAAGUGAGCAAGCAAACAACGCAUCCACGCAGCGCGGCUGACACAGAAGAGCGUACAUCAUCUGCCGACUGCUCAGAAUUGCCAAAAUGGCACUACGCUGAUUUGGAGAGACACAGAGGAGAGGAAUUGUUGAAGGGAAGUGAUGUACACAUCUUUCAGGGCUGGUUUUGUGCGUAUGCAACAGUUAUAAAUGAGGCCCCAGGAACCAAGAUAUGGGAGAACCAGGAUACAAGGCUUAUAAUUGCAGUAAAAAAACAUACAAGACUUAGCAAAGAAUGGCAGUGA